UACCAACUGAGCUACAUCCCCACCUC
RNAcentral lists this non-coding RNA (26 nucleotides) under Rattus norvegicus (Norway rat). The record is from RNAcentral. Lineage: Eukaryota; Metazoa; Chordata; Mammalia; Rodentia; Muridae.